Molecule: ribosomal RNA, 428 nt
Filed under: Bacteroidota bacterium
Lineage: Bacteria; Pseudomonadati; Bacteroidota
Description: Bacteroidetes bacterium partial 16S ribosomal RNA
Rfam family: Bacterial small subunit ribosomal RNA
Source: RNAcentral
UAGGGAAUCUUCCGCAAUGGACGCAAGUCUGACGGAGCAACGCCGCGUGAGUGAAGAAGGAUUUCGGUUCGUAAAACUCUGUUGUUAGAGAAGAACAGCGCAUAGAGUAACUGUUAUGCGUGUGACGGUAUCUAACCAGAAAGCCACGGCUAACUACGUGCCAGCAGCCGCGGUAAUACGUAGGUGGCAAGCGUUAUCCGGAAUUAUUGGGCGUAAAGCGCGCGUAGGCGGUUUUUUAAGUCUGAUGUGAAAGCCCACGGCUCAACCGUGGAGGGUCAUUGGAAACUGGAAAACUUGAGUGCAGAAGAGGAAAGUGGAAUUCCAUGUGUAGCGGUGAAAUGCGCAGAGAUAUGGAGGAACACCAGUGCGAAGGCGACUUUCUGGUCUGUAACUGACGCUGAUGUGCGAAAGCGUGGGGAUCAAACAGG